AUCGUCCGCAAGACUUGAGAGUACUCAUGACACCAGUAUUUAGUAUCAGCAGAAACCAGUAGUACGCCACCCUCUACCUCCCACUGGGAACAUUACCACCACUACGGGCAUAAUAUCCACUGGCAGCAUCAUCACCAUCGAUCCAGAGUUAUCCUAGUGCUCAGAACAGCCCCGUACUUACACAAACUUCAAUCCCCGGCUGAUAACUUUAAAAACGGAUUUUAAUAAACCAUUACCGGAAGUUAUCAACGUGGCACGUAGCGAUCGUACAUUUAACCAAAAAAAUUCAUUAACGGGCACUUGGGUAUCACUAUCACCCACAUGGGGAAUCAAUUUCAAAUCAAUCUGACACUUAGUUUAUACACAGGGUCAAUUUUUCCAAUUUCGAUGACUACCUUUUCGGAAGGGGUCCAAUUUCAAAUGGUUGAAUUGUCAAUUUUUAUAUUAAUUGAUGAUAUUUAGUGAGUCGGAAGUGGAUUUUUGGAUGAAAGAGAGUAGAUUAAGACGAGUGGAUUGUUAAUAUCUGUCACGGGGGUGAUAAUAGGGUGAAUAGCGUCCCUGUUGUCCCGACGCAUGUGCAGACACACCUUUUAUUUCUACGGUCUAUGUGUUGCUUUAUGUAUUGGAUGAUCCUGGGGUAUUUAUGUUGAUAUUAAGCUGAGGUAUUUUCUCAUAUAGGUCAUGUUAUUUUAAAUUCAUUGUUUUUUAUUCAAGUAAUCAGAAAAAAAAAAAAUUUUAUUAUUUUUGUGAUAUGAGUGGAAAUUUCGGAUGAAAUUGGAUUUAGGCAGUCAAGAUAUUGAGAACACAGUGAUGUGGGUACUCAAACUACAGGAAAUCGGUGUGAAGGUAUCAAUGAAAGUCUUAUAAUAUUUUAUAAUUUUUUAUUAAUUAUGACAUACAAUAAAUAAAUAAUUAAUAUUUGUUGAAUUAAAAAGCCGUAAAUUUUUUUUUGUUUUAAUAUUUUUAAUUAAGAUGACGAUGAAUUUAAUGUUCGUUACUGUUACUGUAAUUAUAGUGUAAUAAUAAUAAUUAUAAUGUAAUAAUAAUAGUAAUAAUAAUAAUAAUAAUAAUUAUAGUAAUA
Molecule: long non-coding RNA, 1081 nt
Organism: Microplitis mediator
Lineage: Eukaryota; Metazoa; Arthropoda; Insecta; Hymenoptera; Braconidae
Exons: 2
Source: RefSeq, a predicted model, not a curated record